AGAGUUUGAUCCUGGCUCAGAUUGAACGCUGGCGGCAUGCUUUACACAUGCAAGUCGAACGGCAGCACGGGAGCUUGCUCCUGGUGGCGAGUGGCGAACGGGUGAGUAAUAUAUCGGAACGUAUCCAAUAAUGGGGGAUAACUAAUAGAAAUGUUAGCUAAUACCGCAUACGCCCUGAGGGGGAAAGCAGGGGAUCUUCGGACCUUGCGUUAAUGGAGCGGCUGAUAUCUGAUUAGCUAGUUGGUGAGGUAAAGGCUCACCAAGGCGACGAUCAGUAGCUGGUCUGAGAGGACGACCAGCCACACUGGAACUGAGACACGGUCCAGACUCCUACGGGAGGCAGCAGUGGGGAAUUUUGGACAAUGGGCGCAAGCCUGAUCCAGCCAUGCCGCGUGAGUGAAGAAGGCCUUCGGGUUGUAAAGCUCUUUCGCGAGGGAAGAAAAGGUUACAGAUAAUACCUGUGGCCCAUGACGGUACCUUGAUAAGAAGCACCGGCUAACUACGUGCCAGCAGCCGCGGUAAU
Molecule: ribosomal RNA, 523 nt
Filed under: uncultured bacterium
Lineage: Bacteria
Description: bacterial SSU rRNA
Rfam family: Bacterial small subunit ribosomal RNA
Source: RNAcentral